RNAcentral lists this ribosomal RNA (461 nucleotides) under bacterium 2611-S6-01-1. RNAcentral describes it as "bacterial SSU rRNA". It matches the Rfam family "Bacterial small subunit ribosomal RNA", at positions 59 to 511 of the family's 1533-position model. The record is from RNAcentral.
CAGUCGAGCGGAUAGCAGGGAGCAAUCCUCCUUCUCUCACUCGAGCGGACGGGUGAGUAAGGCCUAUGAAUCUGCCUGGGACUGAGGGAUAACGUUCCCAACGGAACGCUAAUACCGCAUACGUCCUACGGCAGAAAGCAGGGGACCUUCAGGCCUUGCCCUAUCGCAUGAACCUAAGUCCGAUUAGCUUUUUGGUGAGGUAAUGGCUCACCAAGGCCACGAUCCCUAUCUGGUCUGAGACGAUGAUCAUUCUCACUGGAACUGAGACUGAGUCCCGACUCCUACUCCAAGCGGAGGUGGGGAAGAUUGGACUAUGGGCGAGAGCCUGAUCCUGCCAUGCCCCUGGUGUGAGUAAGGUCUUCGGAUUGUAAAGCACUUUAACUUUCGAUGAAGGGGAGUGUGCUAAUGUCCUGAACUUUUGACAUUGCCAUUACAAUAAGAACAAGCUACCUUCAUGUCCG